CAUCACUACGCUAGAUGCAUAUCAAUAAGCGGAGGAAAAGAAACUAACAAGGAUUCCCUCAGUAACGGCGAGUGAAGCGGGAAGAGCUCAAAUUUGAAAUCUUCAAGGUUCUACCUUGACGAAUUGUAGUUUAAAGAAGUGUUUUCUGUUGAAGUUUUGGUAAAAGUUCUUUGGAAUAGGACAUCAUAGAGGGUGAGAAUCCCGUAUUUGACCAUUAUUUCCAACUUUGUGAUACACUUUCAAAGAGUCGGAUUGUUUGGGAAUGCAGUCCAAAAUGGGUGGUAAAUUUCAUCUAAAGCUAAAUACUGGCGAGAGACCGAUAGCGAACAAGUACCGUGAGGGAAAGAUGAAAGGAACUUUGAAAAGAGAGUUAAACAGUACGUGAAAUUGUCAAAAGGGAAGCGUUUGACACCAGUGUUGUUUUUCUGAAAAUCAAUUAAGAAUGGCCGGAUUUUAAGUUUCAUGACCUUAAAAGCUUGUUUCUUAUUUUUCUUGUCUUUCUUAAUGCACUUUUCGGUUAACAAGUCAACAUCAAUUUCUUUUGUUGUAAAAGGUUAAGAGGAAGGUGGCUUUACUUUCGGGUAAAGUGUUUAUAGCCUUUUAACUCUGCAAUCGGAGAGAUUGAGGUCUGCAGCGUAGAUCCUUCGGGGCUAGAUACGUUUGUGCUAAGUUAUAGCUUUUCAUAGACAACUUGUUGACUAUGUUUAGUCUUGUAGCUUACUCGCAUGCGCUAUUUUACCUACGCUUAGGAUGUUGACGAGACUGUCGAUCUC
This 773-nucleotide ribosomal RNA is filed under the name uncultured Neocallimastigales. RNAcentral describes it as "partial large subunit ribosomal RNA". It matches the Rfam family "Eukaryotic large subunit ribosomal RNA", at positions 20 to 645 of the family's 3401-position model. Lineage: Eukaryota; Fungi; Neocallimastigomycota; Neocallimastigomycetes; Neocallimastigales. The record is from RNAcentral.